Long non-coding RNA from Daphnia pulicaria, 826 nucleotides. RefSeq lists it as uncharacterized. The transcript has 4 exons. The record is from RefSeq and is a predicted model, not a curated record. Lineage: Eukaryota; Metazoa; Arthropoda; Branchiopoda; Diplostraca; Daphniidae.
AAAUUGAAUCAAUCGAUGCAGAUGUUCAAAUAAAAACGGAAAGAGAAUGGAAAGAUUUAAUUUUCUACAAGAGCCAACUGUACCUUACUAACGUCACCCUAAACAGCCCCUACACAACAUUGAAAUGUGGGUACGACACUGAAAAUUCAACCGUAAAAGAAAUCUCAUUCGCCAUUAAAGAAAUCGACAGCGACCCAGUGUCUAAUUCAAUCACCCUAGAAAAAGGAAUCGAAAUUUUGUCCUGCAACCGAUUAUCGCAACAUGUUCCUAUUCAUUGGCUCAAGAACGGCAACCAAUACACUGGCACAGUUGACUAGACGGAAACCUGGUCAAUUCUGCCACUAAGAGGAAAAUCAAAGGAAGCUGGAAUCUACGAAUGCCAAUGGAAAAACGGCAGAGGAGAGGCCAGAUACAGAAACUUCAACGUCACUGUCACUUUCGUUGAAGAAGAAACAAAUGCCAUGAUUUUGUCAGUAACUUUCAUCGGAUUAAUUGCAGUCGGAGUGGGCAUCGGAAUUAAACUUUACUUCGACAAAACAAAAGCGGAAAACCAAGUUGAAAAAAUCCUGAAUCCGGGUGAAAUCGACCCGAAUAUUCUGAUUAAAACGGAAUUCCUGCCCUACGACCAAAUAGGAGAAUUUACGAAGAAACGGCUCAGACUCGUUUUGUUGUUCCUCGAUAUUUGAUGCAUUUAAAACAAAAUAAUUUGAAAUUCAUCUGCUGGUAUUGACAGAGAACUCAGCAUGUAACGCAAAAAGGAUUUUGAAUAACCCGUCUGUCAUUUCCAAAAAGGAAGCGUCGCCAUUAAAAACUAAUGUGGCCCCAU